This is a long non-coding RNA of Onychostoma macrolepis, 1541 nucleotides long. RefSeq lists it as uncharacterized. Lineage: Eukaryota; Metazoa; Chordata; Actinopteri; Cypriniformes; Cyprinidae. The record is from RefSeq and is a predicted model, not a curated record. The transcript has 6 exons.
AUCUUUGGACUUCCAACAGAGAGACUUCGAGAACGUGUUCUUCAGGAAUGAAAUCUGACCCGUUUCCGAAACCUGACUCGAUUUCGUCGGAACGAGACGACUGGGCAGCUGUGAACCCCAUAGACAGUAAUAUCAUUGCGCAGACUCCAACUCAGGGAGGCGGAACGCUCUGCGUCACGGCUGCGUGAUGACGUGUGCACCACGCCCCGCCCACAGUACGGCCGCCAUCACGUGGCCAGCAGGUAAAUCCGCUCCACCCUUUGUGUACGCGGUGUAAGAGCGCUGCAGUAGCGUGCUGUCGCAGUGUAAUUACUGAGAAAUGUGCAUGCAUUGUUCUGCCAACGGAUGCAUGUGUGUUUUGGGAGACUUUUGCAGGUUGCUGAUCCUCCUCGGUGGAUCUCAGCUGUCUGUGCAACACACCCAGAGCCUUGGGACAAAGCCGCAUGGCUGCCUUCUCAUCACUGCUGGGUAACUGUGGUAAAUGUUUGAAUGUAAAUCUACACAAGUGCACUCAGAACUACAACUCUUGUGAUAUGAUAUACUUUUGUGAGAACUUUUGUAAAUAUAGAUUGUAUUAAAAUUUAAUUAAGUUACAUCUGACUUUCAUGUUUUGUUUAUUAAACAUUGUGUAUAUAUACACUGCAUUCCGAUAUAUGAUUAUUUACCAAUAUCAACCAAAUCCUUGCAAAUACACUACAUAAGCUGAUAUCUUCAAGGAAGCUUAAGUUUUAUGAAGUUGGCACAAGAAGGCUUCACACUGUAUGAACUCCUGGAUUUUAUAGAACAAGAAUACAUAUAGAUCAGUGGUUUUCAGCUGGGUACCGCAAGAUGACUUUAAUAAUAAAAUGACAAAGAUAUAGAAUGUGCUAUUAGAUAUUUCUUUUACUGUUUGUCUACAGUUUUUACACAUGUACUUUUGAGGUCACAAUUAGUUUAAAAAUGAGAUGGUUUUUUUAGAAGUAUUGUUUUAGUUUUGCACAAUUUGGGCCCAUGGAGUUUGAGGACUGCUGCUGAAGAACAAUGGAGAAGAACUUGGUUAACUUGUUCAGAUUACAGUGCAUGGCAUUUGUUUGUGAGGGGCAUGAAGCAAUGGAGGAGACCCGGGCAGGACAAACCUCUCAAAUUACAUAGACGACGAGGACACACCUCUUUGUCAAUGGAAGGAAUGAAGGAACCCACACAAGACAAGAUGUUGUGAGAACAUGGAAAAAUAUGUGUGAAUCAGCUGUUUGGUGCUGGAUGAACUAACCAGCUUUCCACCCUCAGACAAAGCACGACUUCUUUACAAGAAGAUAAAGGAACUGGUUGGGGCUGGAUAGGGAAAGUAAAUAUUAAAAUUAAUCAGUUUAAAUAUUGCUUAAAUAAUGCUUGGUAUUCAUAAAGUAUGCAUGUCUAUAGACAGAGAAAACAGCACUUUGACCUUCACAGAGACAGGUGCCUGUGGCGUUGUGGUUGGACACACCCACGGAGUGGACUCUGUUCGGCCGAGAGAAAAGGUCACAGAAAUGUCAUGCAGUCAUGUCCUUGAGACGAGGUGGAAG